CAUAAACUGAUCCAGCUGUCAUUGCUGUCUUAACGUCUCAGGUGAUUUAUUUCUCUUUGGAGCUAGAAGAGGGAAAGUUUACCCCGAAACUGAGAAUACUAGCCCAGUGACAAGAAUCAUUGUUUUGGAAAGGAAUCACAAAACUGUAAUGCAGAGGGAAAAGGACCCUCAUGUUAGCAGAGCAGUGGUUAAUGCAAAGGCAUGAACUCCCAAGAGCUUUGGUAGAAGAUGACGACUUUGAGAAGAAAUUCAGUCUGUGGAAGAUGCUGGAAAUGUUUGGUUUCCUUUCUGAUGAGAGCUUGCUUUUCUAUCCUGUUAAAACAUGAACCUCGAGGAGAAGACUUUACAGCAAGGGAGGGAGUUGGUUUACCUUUUCCCCCUGCUGAGCUGUUCUUCCAGUUUAUACCUGCUCAGUGUCAUUAUAGACUUGAGCUCUCACUACCAGUAACGCUUUUGGCAGAAGAGCCUGGUUCUGGCUGGAUAGAACUAGGAAGUACUUCUGCUACUGCUUCUGGGAAUGGCAGAUUUCUGUAUUUAUG
Long non-coding RNA from Gallus gallus (chicken), 539 nucleotides. NCBI's taxonomy places the organism in Eukaryota, Metazoa, Chordata, Aves, Galliformes, Phasianidae. The record is from Ensembl.